GUACAAGUUUCUGUAGGUGACCUGCAGAAGGAUCAUUAG
Molecule: ribosomal RNA, 39 nt
Filed under: Quambalaria sp. S0
Lineage: Eukaryota; Fungi; Basidiomycota; Exobasidiomycetes; Microstromatales; Quambalariaceae
Description: partial 18S ribosomal RNA
Source: RNAcentral